GGUAUUUCAGUUUUGUUUGUUUGAAUCUUUAAUUUAAAUUUUAAAAGAAAAAGUUUGGGCCACAUAUGCCAAAAGAAAAGGGGAAAAAUGACACAACUUCUUACAGCGUGCAAUGAAAAAGAAGAUGGUUACCGUUAUGUUGAGAUCUUUAAAGGGUGAUUGGUUCAUGAUGACGAAAGCCCAAAGUUUGACCUCGUUGACUGAAUCAUGAUGCGUGCCAUUCACGCUCUUCCAUAUUCUAUUUCUCAUUCAACCUAUUCCUA
This 263-nucleotide long non-coding RNA is filed under the name Vigna radiata. RNAcentral describes it as "long non-coding RNA (VRAD_LNC016085)". Lineage: Eukaryota; Viridiplantae; Streptophyta; Magnoliopsida; Fabales; Fabaceae. The record is from RNAcentral.